GACGAACGCUGGCGGCGUGCCUAAUACAUGCAAGUAGAACGCUGAAGGAGGAGCUUGCUUCUCUGGAUGAGUUGCGAACGGGUGAGUAACGCGUAGGUAACCUGCCUGGUAGCGGGGGAUAACUAUUGGAAACGAUAGCUAAUACCGCAUAAGAGUAGAUGUUGCAUGACAUUUGCUUAAAAGGUGCAAUUGCAUCACUACCAGAUGGCCCUGCGUUGUAUUAGCUAGUUGGUGGGGUAACGGCUCACCAAGGCGACGAUACAUAGCCGACCUGAGAGGGUGAGCGGCCACACUGGGACAGAGACACGGCCCAGACUCCUACGGGAGGCAGCAGUAGGGAAUCUUGGGCGAUGGAGGGAAGUCUGACCGAGAAACGCCGCGUGAGUGAAGAAGGUUGUCGGAUCGUAAAGCUCUGUUUUAAGAGAAGAACGAGUGUGAGAGUGGAAAGUUCACACUGUGACGGUAGCUUACCAGAAAGGGACGGCUAACUACGUG
This 495-nucleotide ribosomal RNA is filed under the name uncultured bacterium. RNAcentral's name for it is "partial 16S ribosomal RNA". It matches the Rfam family "Bacterial small subunit ribosomal RNA", at positions 28 to 507 of the family's 1533-position model. The record is from RNAcentral.